GACUCUCGACAACGGAUAUCUCGGCUCUCGCAUCGAUGAAAAACGUAGCAAAAUGCGAUACCUGGUGUGAAUUGCAGAAUCCCGCGAACCAUCGAGUUUUUGAACGCAAGUUGCGCCCGAGGCCUUCCGGCCGAGGGCACGUCUGCCUGGGCGUCA
Molecule: ribosomal RNA, 156 nt
Filed under: Sorghum bicolor (sorghum)
Lineage: Eukaryota; Viridiplantae; Streptophyta; Magnoliopsida; Poales; Poaceae
Description: rRNA 5_8S_rRNA
Rfam family: 5.8S ribosomal RNA
About the family: 5.8S ribosomal RNA (5.8S rRNA) is a component of the large subunit of the eukaryotic ribosome. It is transcribed by RNA polymerase I as part of the 45S precursor that also contains 18S and 28S rRNA.
Source: RNAcentral